GACGAACGCUGGCGGCGUGCCUAAUACAUGCAAGUAGAACGCUGAAGGAGGAGCUUGCUUCUCCGGAUGAGUUGCGAACGGGUGAGUAACGCGUAGGUAACCUGCCUGGUAGCGGGGGAUAACUAUUGGAAACGAUAGCUAAUACCGCAUAACAGUAGAUAUUGCAUGAUAUCUGCUGGAAAGGUGCAAUUGCAUCACUACCAGAUGGACCUGCGUUGUAUUAGCUAGUUGGUGAGGGAACGGCUCACCAAGGCGACGAUACAUAGCCGACCUGAGAGGGUGGUCGACCAACAUUGGAAUGGGACAAGGCUCCGGCUCCUUCGGGAGGCAGCAGUAGGGGAACAUUGGCAAAGGACGGAAAGCUUGCCGCGGAACGACCGGGUAGGUGAGAAGGGUCUCGGAUCGGAAAAGCCCGUUGUAAGGGAAAGAAGAGUGGGAGAGUGGAAAGUUCACGUUGUGACGGUACCUAAACAGAAAGCGACGGCUAACUACGUG
Molecule: ribosomal RNA, 495 nt
Filed under: uncultured bacterium
Lineage: Bacteria
Description: partial 16S ribosomal RNA
Rfam family: Bacterial small subunit ribosomal RNA
Source: RNAcentral